This 253-nucleotide ribosomal RNA is filed under the name uncultured bacterium. RNAcentral describes it as "partial 16S ribosomal RNA". It matches the Rfam family "Bacterial small subunit ribosomal RNA", at positions 524 to 776 of the family's 1533-position model. The record is from RNAcentral.
UACGGGGGGAGCAAGCGUUGUUCGGAUUUACUGGGCGUAAAGGGCGCGUAGGCGGCGUGACAAGUCACUUGUGAAAUCUCCGGGCUUAACUCGGAAAGGUCAACUGAUACUGUGCGACUAGAGUGCAGAAGGGGCAACUGGAAUUCUCGGUGUAGCGGUGAAAUGCGUAGAUAUCGAGAGGAACACCUGCGGCGAAGGCGGGUUGCUGGGCUGACACUGACGCUGAGGCGCGAAAGCCAGGGGAGCGAACGGG